Molecule: long non-coding RNA, 3798 nt
Organism: Corythoichthys intestinalis (scribbled pipefish)
Lineage: Eukaryota; Metazoa; Chordata; Actinopteri; Syngnathiformes; Syngnathidae
Exons: 4
Source: RefSeq, a predicted model, not a curated record
CUUUUUUUCCUCCUUUCAAUGAGUGCAGUUCGUUCCUAAAUCUGCCGUCCUGUUUGUUGCCUUCCGGGUGUUGUGCGUGGAUGAAAAAGAAAAUCACAACACAACAUAAAACAAUACAACAAAUAAAUCAAAUCCUGAACUGUUGAUCCGCUGAUUCUCUGGCCGGAGUCGCACCUCCAUAGCGUCGCCGGCUUUACACCUCACACCCAAAGAGAGGGAUUCCCAGUAAAAUUAGACCUCUUUUUCAGUAAAUGAAAAAGUGCCACCAAAAAGGUAAAAUCAAGGGUGAAAGUGGCUAGAAUUUCUUGCCGGAACUCCUCGAUGUGAAGGUUGCCACGGAGCCAGAAAUUUUGUUUAUUUAUUUAUUUUCAUUUUUGGGGGGGUUGGACCUCCUAAAACUACUCAAAUGCAAAGAAAACUGUUUUGGCACAUUUAUUUCUAUAACACAUACAAAAACUGACUUUCAUUCAAAAUUGUAUUAGCAAUAACCUCAACCACCAUCUCCUAAUUUUUAUUUUCCCUCAUUUCCUCACAUACUAAAUGCCAAAUCUCAAUUUUAAUUACUUAAGAACAUAGGAUGUAUAUUAAAAUUGAUGUGAAUGUAAACAUUUACUUUUGCUUUCUUUUCUUUUUUUUUAAAUAGUCAAGAUAUAAGUAACAUACAUUCAGAAAAAUAAGUACAAGACUUAUAUUAUGCAGAGUAAAAUGGAAUAUAUUUUGAAGAUGGCGCAAACAUUGACUUUUUAAAUUAUAAGGAAAUGAAUAAGUAAGCUAACAUAAAUGAACAAAUAUAAGUCCAAAGUGCACAUUGACAGCUAAGAUGUUCUGAACCUCCCCAUCAGAGCAAAUAAAACUAAAUAUGAUAAAUAAGCCUCCUCAACUCUUUCCUUGCUCUUAAAGAUUUGAUCCAUUUUCUAUUGCAUCAAUAAAUAUUGCAUAAAUAUUUUUUUUUUUGUCACAUCAAUUCAACAAACUUUUUUUUUUUUUUUUUUUUUUGCUGUGCCAGAAAACAUGCAUGUUUGAACCAAUCAGAGCUAACUAUCUCUGCUGAUCAUAUGUCAGUAUGCCAGCCAAUUGAAACGAUAAAUGAUUCCAGGUGUUUUGCUUUGCUGCGUGCAUUCGUACAUUGACGUGACUCAUCAUCGUCAGACUCAGAUAACUGCAGCAGCUGGGAAACCUCCAUGCCGUAAAACAAAUAGUAAACAUCGGUGGAAAUAGAUUACGCGACACAACCACUUUAUUAUGCUUGUAAAUCUGAUGUUGGUAGAUUGUUUUCUUCUUGGAGAUGAAAUGCAUGUGUGGCAGCUUAGCAUUUUUUUUUUUACAUAACGUUUUGACAGUUGCCGUCAUAUUUUUUUAAUCAAAGCACCGUGUACCGGAACAGCAUUCCGGCCCUCAAUCUUAUACCGGAACUGCGUUCUGAAUCUGAAUGUAUGAAUGAAUGCUUUAUUUGGACAUGAGGAAAAAAAAAAGACAAACAAAACAAACGAAAAACAAAAUAGAAAAAUAAAAAUAAAAAAAAUCAGACAGAACCAAUGAUAUUCUCGAGAUAACAGAAACAAUAGUUAAGACAAUCAUAAUAAUGAUAAUAUUAAACAAGAUCAGAAUUUAUUCAUUGUGUCCAAAAAGGAGUAGGAUGAAGCAUUUGCUUAUUAAAACCUACCCCCCAUUUCUAUUCCUUAAUUAUAUCUGUCCGCCCUAUGUAACUAGUCCUCAUAUUACAAAGAAAUAAACUAAAUAACCAUAUACAUAAAAUGCAAGAUAAACAAAAAUAAACAGGACUUAGAGUAGCCAAUAACAGAUAUGUGAAAACCCCCUAUAAUUGAACCUCUUCCUCCUCCCUUUGCCCAGUGAAAACCAUGUGCUUGUACCACUUCCUAAACUGGGUCAUGCUUGGACAUUGCUUGUGCCCCUCAUCUAGUUUAUUCCACAGCUUCACUCCACAAACUGAAACACAAAAACUUUUUAAUGUAGUUCAUACCUGCUGAUGCUGUAAGUGAAGCUCCCCCGUCAAACUGUAUUGUCCUUCUUUGUUAAAAAAUAAUUUCUGUAUAUUGCCAGGAAGUGACCUGUGUAAAGCCUUAUACAUUAGCUGAGCUGUUUGAAAAUGAACCAAGUCCAUGAAUUUUAAUGUUCCGUAAUUUAAAAAUAAUGUAUUUGUAUGAUCCCUAUAACCAGCGUUAUUUACCAUUCUUAUGGCUCUUUUUUGUAAAAUGGAUAGUGAAUUUAUUCUACAUUUAUAAAUAUUACCCCAGACUUCUGCACAGUAGUGUAAAUAUGGCAGGAUUAAAGAACAGUAAAGUAUGUGGAGUGAUUUAUGGUCAAGACUGUGUUUUGCAUUACUCAGGACUGAAAUGCUUCUUGAUAAUUUACUUUGUAUAUGUUUUAUAUGAGCUUUCCAGUUAAUCUUCUCAUCAAUAACUACCCCAAGAAACUUGUUUUCAUAGACCGUUUCAAUAUUUACCCCAUCUAUCUGUAUUUGUACUUCACUGUUUUUAUUGUAUCUGCUAAAUAACACGAAUUUUGUUUUACUUAAGUUUAAUGAUAAUUUGUUUCUGUCAAACCAUGUUUUUAAUUUACAAAUUUCAUCAGAAACCCUACCCAGGAGCUCAUGUAAUUCCCCCCCAGAACAAAGGAUACUUGUGUCAUCUGCAAAUAAAACUAAUUUUAGUAUUCUUGAAACUUUGCAUAUAUCAUUUAUAUAAAGAAUAAACAGUUUUGGACCUAACACCGAACCCUGAGGGACACCACAAGCAAUGUCCAAGCAUGAUGAUGAGUAGUCACCCAACUUCACAAAUUGUUUUCUGUUACUUAAAAAACUCUUCACCCAGUGUAGUGCCACUCCCCUGAUCCCGUACUUUUCAAGUUUAUUAAUUAAAAUGUCAUGAUUAAUGGUGUCAAAUGCUUUCAUAAGAUCAAUGAAUAUUCCAACUGAGUGUAAUUUGUUAUCAAAAGCGUGAGUGAUCUCCUCAACUGAUCCUAUUAAUGCUAGUGAUGUUGAACUGCCCUAAAACCAUAUUGACUGUCGAAAAGUAAGUUAUAUUUAUUUAUGAAUUUGUCUAAUCUGUUGUUGAAUAAUUUUUCUAGAAUUUUGGAAAACUGUGGGAGUAGAAAACAUGCCUGUAAUUUGUAAAGUGGUGUCUGUUCCCAGUCUUUUACAAUGGUGCUACUUUAGCUAUUUUCAUUUUAUUUGGAAAUUUACCAGUUGAAAAUGAUAAGUUACAGAUAUACUGUAUGUUAGUGGUUUUGAAAUUCCCUCAAUGACCUUUUUAACAACUAUCAUGUCAAUGUCAUUUGAAUCAGUGGAUGUUUUGCAUUUACAUGUAUUUACUAUAUCAAUUAUUUCUUCUUCAACCACUGCUGUAAGGAACAUUGAGCUGGGAUUCCUUUCAAAUAGGUUUUCAUUCCACUCAGAUAAACUUGUAUCUGGAAUAUGUUUUGCCAGAUUUGGUCCAAUGUUUACAAAGAACGCAUUAAAGCUGCCAAAUAUGUCAUUCAUAUUAUCCUUGUUCAUAUCAUCUUCCACAAAGUAUUGAGGAUAGCCCUGUUGUUUCGCACCAUUUUUAAUAAUACCAUUUAAUAUAUCCCAUAUUCCUUUAAUAUUGUUUUUGUUGUUAUACAAUAUUUUGCUAUAGUAUUCUUUCCUACAUACCCUUAUCAUAUUGGUCAGUUUAUUUUUUAUAUUUUUUAUAUCUAUUUUCUGCCUCUGUAGUUCUUUUUUUUUUUUUUUUUUAAUGAAUUCUCUAUACAGUGUAUUUUUCUUCUUACAAGCAUUUUGCAAUCCCUUCGUGAACCAUG